UACGGAGGGGGCUAGCGUUGUUCGGAAUUACUGGGCGUAAAGCGCACGUAGGCGGCUUUGUAAGUUAGAGGUGAAAGCCUGGUGCUCAACACCAGAACUGCCUUUAAGACUGCAUCGCUUGAAUCAUGGAGAGGCGGGUGGUAUUCCGAGUGUAGAGGUGAAAUUCGUAGAUAUUCGGAAGAACACCAGUGGCGAAGGCGGCCCGCUGGACAUGUAUUGACGCUGAGGUGCGAAAGCGUGGGGAGCAAACAGG
This 253-nucleotide ribosomal RNA is filed under the name uncultured bacterium. RNAcentral describes it as "partial 16S ribosomal RNA". It matches the Rfam family "Bacterial small subunit ribosomal RNA", at positions 524 to 776 of the family's 1533-position model. The record is from RNAcentral.